Molecule: ribosomal RNA, 650 nt
Filed under: uncultured bacterium
Lineage: Bacteria
Description: bacterial SSU rRNA
Rfam family: Bacterial small subunit ribosomal RNA
Source: RNAcentral
CGCGGCCUAUCAGCUUGUUGGUGAGGUAAUGGCUCACCAAGGCGACGACGGGUAGCCGGCCUGAGAGGGUGACCGGCCACACUGGGACUGAGACACGGCCCAGACUCCUACGGGAGGCAGCAGUGGGGAAUAUUGCACAAUGGGCGAAAGCCUGAUGCAGCGACGCCGCGUGAGGGAUGACGGCCUUCGGGUUGUAAACCUCUUUCAGUAGGGAAGAAGCCCCUUUUGGGGGUGACGGUACUUGCAGAAGAAGCGCCGGCUAACCACGUGCCAGCAGCCGCGGUAAUACGUAGGGCGCAAGCGUUAUCCGGAAUUAUUGGGCGUAAAGAGCUCGUAGGCGGUUUGUCGCGUCUGCCGUGAAAGUCCGAGGCUCAACCUCGGAUCUGCGGUGGGUACGGGCAGACUAGAGUGAUGUAGGGGAGACUGGAAUUCCUGGUGUAGCGGUGAAAUGCGCAGAUAUCAGGAGGAACACCGAUGGCGAAGGCAGGUCUCUGGGCAUUUACUGACGCUGAGGAGCGAAAGCAUGGGGAGCGAACAGGAUUAGAUACCCUGGUAGUCCAUGCCGUAAACGUUGGGCACUAGGUGUGGGGGACAUUCCACGUUUUCCGCGCCGUAGCUAACGCAUUAAGUGCCCCGCCUGGGGAGUACGG